RNAcentral lists this ribosomal RNA (201 nucleotides) under uncultured bacterium. RNAcentral's name for it is "partial 16S ribosomal RNA". It matches the Rfam family "Bacterial small subunit ribosomal RNA", at positions 1300 to 1500 of the family's 1533-position model. The record is from RNAcentral.
GCAGUCUGCAACUCGAGUGCAUGAAGCUGGAAUCGCUAGUAAUCGCGGAUCAGAAUGCCGCGGUGAAUACGUUCCCGGGUCUUGUACACACCGCCCGUCACACCAUGGGAGCCGGUAACGCCCGAAGUCAGUGGCCCAACCGAGAGGGGGGAGCUGCCGAAGGCGGGACUGGUAACUGGGGUGAAGUCGUAACAAGGUAUC